RNAcentral lists this microRNA precursor (77 nucleotides) under Myotis lucifugus (little brown bat). Its description in RNAcentral is "mir-9229 microRNA precursor family". It matches the Rfam family "mir-9229 microRNA precursor family". The record is from Rfam by way of RNAcentral. Lineage: Eukaryota; Metazoa; Chordata; Mammalia; Chiroptera; Vespertilionidae.
GAGACACCCUUAUGGGGCAGGACUUGCUUCAGUGGGGGCUUUGGCGCUCACUGAGUCUGCCCUCUGAGUGUGUCUCU